This 1053-nucleotide long non-coding RNA is filed under the name Felis catus (domestic cat). RNAcentral's name for it is "lncRNA (ENSFCAG00000050269.1)". The record is from RNAcentral. Lineage: Eukaryota; Metazoa; Chordata; Mammalia; Carnivora; Felidae.
AUGCCCAGGCCUGCGGUGGAGCCCUGGCCAGGGCAGCCAGCACAGGGCCAGCGGCCUCGCCUCCCAAGGUCACCCAGCACCUGCCCCAACCCCCAAGAAGCAUCUCCAGAAAAGCAGCCUUUCCUGGCGAAGUGCCAAGCGGGCCCCUCAAGAAAGCACAGGAGCCCAGUUCCGUCAAGUCUGGUUUUAUUGAGAAACAGCAGCAUCGGGGGCCACGUAGGCGGAGGGGCCACAGCACUCCCCACCCCUCCUGCUGCUCACACGCCCACAGGAGGCCUGGGACCCCCCCCCCCACCCGCCCCUGGCCCAGCAGCCUGUCUGCUCUGCAACUUGGCCGGCUGCCCCUCCGGGCCCUCUCAAGGGCGGUUUUGGCGCAUCCUGGGGUCUCAGGGAAGUUGCCACGGUCGUGGACCCAUAAACAGUAAACCACAGGAAGUGCAACCAGCCACCACGAAAUGGUCUGGGCUCUGUGCCCCCAAAGACACAGUGUCCACAGCAGUUGUGGUCAAACAGCCUGGCCAAGGUGACGCCAUGUUAUCAGCUCUGAUCACAGCUCGUCUGGCUGAGUGUCCACCCUGCCACUCUCCCCGCACACCCAGAGACGCAGGCAAAGGCUCAUCCUGGGUCGCCCCUGCUUCACACAGGCCCAUCCAGUGCCAUCCACCGGGGGGGAAGGGCACACUACAUUCAAGGUCCGCGGGGCCCUGGGGAAGGCCCAGGGGGAGGGAGAGGGCCCAGCGCCGAGCCGUGGACGCGGCCACCUGCCAGGACCCCGCUGCUCGGCACAGGGCUUGGGGCCAGCCUGUCCAGGCUGGAACGGGAGGUCCUCGGCUACCGGGCUCCCUCCCCGGCACCACACCCUUGCACAUGUGUGCACACACAUGCACGUCCACACACAGGCACAGGCAUGCCCGUGCACAUAUGGUGAGCACACGUGUGCAUACACACAGGCACACAUACACGUGUGCACACGCACACCACACACACACACAGCCACACAGGCACACACACCAGACACACUCCGUCUUCAAAAUGGCUAAUUAUUGCUGUUAA